RNAcentral lists this unclassified non-coding RNA (823 nucleotides) under uncultured Mycena. Its description in RNAcentral is "sequence contains ITS1, 5.8S rRNA gene and ITS2". The stretch from base 294 to 447 matches the Rfam family "5.8S ribosomal RNA". Lineage: Eukaryota; Fungi; Basidiomycota; Agaricomycetes; Agaricales; Tricholomataceae. The record is from RNAcentral.
AAGUCGUAACAAGGUUUCCGUAGGUGAACCUGCGGAAGGAUCAUUAUCGAAUAAACUUGAACAGGCUGUUUGCUGGUCUCCCCUGGGGGGGCAUGUGCACGCUUGUCAUCUUUAUCAUUUCUCCCAACUUGUGCACAUAUUUGUAGACCUGGAUGGAAUUCGUUCCGAGUUGGGACUGCUGUGCUUCAUUUCAAGAGGUCAGCUUUGCCUUGUAUUUUUACAGGUCUAUGUCAUUUUUCACAACCUCUGUAAAUGUGUUUAGAAUGAUAAUGGAUAUAUUGAAAAAGUUAUACAACUUUCAGCAACGGAUCUCUUGGCUCUCGCAUCGAUGAAGAACGCAGCGAAAUGCGAUAAGUAAUGUGAAUUGCAGAAUUCAGUGAAUCAUCGAAUCUUUGAACGCACCUUGCGCCCUUUGGUAUUCCGAAGGGCAUGCCUGUUUGAGUGUCAUUAAAUUCUCAAACCUUGAUCAGUUUUGCGACUGACUUCAAGGCUUUGGAUGUGGGAGUCUGCUGGAACUCUUUUGGUUCAGCUCUCCUCAAAUGCAUUAGCGGGUUACUUGAUCCCCUUUCCUUGGUGUGAUAAUUAUCUACGCCUUUGAAAUGAUCAGCAUUGUAUCAGCUUCUAACCGUCCAUUGACUUGGACAACUACUUAAUUGACCAUUUGACCUCAAAUCAGGUAGGACUACCCGCUGAACUUAAGCAUAUCAAUAAGCGGAGGAAAAGAAACUAACAAGGAUUCCCCUAGUAACUGCGAGUGAAGCGGGAAAAGCUCAAAUUUAAAAUCUGGCGGUCCUUGCGGCUGUCCGAGUUGUAAUUUAGAGAA